GAGAUAGCUGGUUCUCCCCGAAAUAGCUUUAGGGCUAGCCUCAGGGAAAAGAUUGCAGGCGGUAGAGCACUGAUCAGGAGAGGGACCUACCCGGUUACCAAACCCAGUCAAACUCCGAAUGGCUGCAAUCAUACCUGGGAGUCAGACUGCGACUAAUAAGGGCCGCAGUCAAAAGGGAAACAGCCCAGACCAUCAGCUAAGGUCCCCAAUGCCGUGCUAAGUGGCGAAGGAUGUGGCAUUUCAUAAACAACCAGGAUGUUGGCUCAGAAGCAGCCACCAUUUAAAGAGUGCGUAAUAGCUCACUGGUCGAGAGACGCUGCGCCGAAAAUGUCCGGGGCUCAAGCACGGAACCGAAGCUAUGGCAUGAUAGCAAUAUCAUGGGUAGGGGAGCGUUCUUAUAAGGAAGAAGCAUGACCGGAAGGACAUGUGGACAAAUAAGAAGUGAGAAUGCCGGUAUGAGUAUCGAAAAGAAAGGUGAGAAUCCUUUCCACCGAAAGCCCGAGGGUUCCUGAGCAACGAUCGUCGACUCAGGGUAAGUCGGGACCUAAGCCGAGGCGAGAAGCGUAGGCGAUGGACAACAGGUUGAAAUUCCUGUACCGGAUCAAGUCGAUUGAGCGAAGGAGCGACGCAGGAGGGCACAUGAUCGCGCGGCUGGAAGAGCGCGUCCAAGUGCGUAUGUUGCAGCAGAGGAAAACCCCUGCGGCUAAAAGCAGAGACAUGAUGGGGAGUUAAAGGAAACUUUGACGAACUCAUGGAUCCCACACUGCCAAGAAAAACUUCUAGCGAGACAAGAUCCGCCCGUACCGUAAACCGACACAGGUAGGCGGGGAGAGAAUCCUAAGGUGCGCGGGAAAACCCUCGUUAAGGAACUCGGCAAAUUGCAUCCGUAACCUAGGGAGAAGGAUGGCCCCCGGUCAGUGAAGAGCAGAAACGCUCAGAGCUAAAAGGGGCGGCAGAAAAGAGGCCCAAGCAACUGUUUACCAAAAACACAGGUGCCUGCGAAAGCGAAAGCUGAAGUAUAGGUGCUGACGCCUGCCCGGUGCCGGAAGGUUAAGGAGAGAAGUUAGCGAAAGCGAAGCAUCGAACUGAAGCCCCGGUGAACGGCGGCCGUAACUAUAACGGUCCUAAGGUAGCGAAAUUCCUUGUCGGGUAAGUUCCGACCCGCAUGAAAGGCGUAAUGAUUUGGGCACUGUCUCAACGAGGGGCCCGGUGAAAUUGAAAUACCUGUGAAGAUGCAGGUUACCCGCGACUGGACAGAAAGACCCCAUGGAGCUUCACUGCAGCUUGAGAUUGAAUCCCGGUGACAGAUGCACAGGAUAGGUGGGAGGCGCCGAAGCAUUGCCCUAGGGCGGUGCGGAGCCGAUGUUGGGAUACCACCCUUCUGUUGCUGAGAUUCUAACGCGAGGAGUAACGACCCUGCGGACCCUCUCAGGCAGGCGGUUUGACUGGGGCGGUCGCCUCCGAAAGAGUAACGGAGGCGCCCAAAGGUUCCCUCAGGCCGGACAGAAACCGGCCGAAGAGUGCAAAGGCAGAAGGGAGCUUGACUGCGAGACCAACAAGUCGAGCAGAGACGAAAGUCGGGCUUAGUGAUCCGGUGGUACUGAGUGGAAAGGCCAUCGCUCAACGGAUAAAAGCUACCCUGGGGAUAACAGGC
This 1654-nucleotide ribosomal RNA is filed under the name human gut metagenome. RNAcentral describes it as "bacterial LSU rRNA". It matches the Rfam family "Bacterial large subunit ribosomal RNA", at positions 842 to 2482 of the family's 2925-position model. The record is from RNAcentral.